GCUUCCCUGGCUCAGUUGGUUAGAGCGCCAGUCUCAUAUAAUGAGUGCUCAAGGAGCAUCUAAUCUGGAGGUCAUGAGUUCGACCGUCAUGGGGAGCA
Non-coding RNA from Mycena filopes, 98 nucleotides. The record is from the annotation of a GenBank genome assembly. Lineage: Eukaryota; Fungi; Basidiomycota; Agaricomycetes; Agaricales; Mycenaceae.